GAUUUAAUUUAUAAGUCAAGAGAAGAGAAGAGAUCAAUUAGUAAACCACAAUCCUCCCACUAACUUCAUCAAGUCAUUGAAUUGGAUUAAGGUCAUGCUGGUUGAACUGACAUCUAGAUCAGUCACACCGAUCAACCUUAAUGGCGUGGGUCAACUUGAAUCACUUAGCAGUCUAAUCAAGACAUAAUUCAUCAAAUUGGCUAGACAAGUG
Molecule: long non-coding RNA, 211 nt
Filed under: Elaeis guineensis (African oil palm)
Lineage: Eukaryota; Viridiplantae; Streptophyta; Magnoliopsida; Arecales; Arecaceae
Description: long non-coding RNA (EGUI_LNC057732)
Source: RNAcentral